RNAcentral lists this ribosomal RNA (443 nucleotides) under uncultured bacterium. RNAcentral's name for it is "partial 16S ribosomal RNA". It matches the Rfam family "Bacterial small subunit ribosomal RNA", at positions 338 to 795 of the family's 1533-position model. The record is from RNAcentral.
CCUACGGGGGGCUGCAGUGGGGAAUAUUGGGCAAUGGAGGAAACUCUGACCCAGCAACGCCGCGUGAAUGAUGAAGGUCUUCGGAUUGUAAAGUUCUUUUCUAACGGAAGAAGAAAGUGACGGUACCUUAUGAAUAAGCCUCGGUUAACUACGUGCCAGCAGCCGCGGGAAUACGUAGGCGGCAAGCGUUAUCCGGAAUGACUGGGCGUAAAGGGUGCGUAGGUUGUUUGACAAGUUAGUAGCGAAACUCCGGGGCUCAACCUCGGCACUACUACCAAAACUGUCGGACGUGAGUGCAGGAGGGGCAAAUGGAAUGCCUAGUGUAGCGGUGGAAUGCGUAGAUAUUAGGAGGAACACCAGUGGCGAAGGCGGUUUGCUGGACUGUAACUGACGCUGAGGCACGAAAGCGUGGGGAGCAAACAGGAUUAGAUACCCGGGUAGUC